UGUAACGUCACAGCCUUGGAUGAGUUAAAUAUAAAUUCAGUAUUUUUUUCAGUCUUACUUAUUACACUGCAUUUUUGUGACAUUUUAUCAUCAUGGUUAUCAAAGGGCAUUAUAUAGUAAUGCCACUUACAACAGCCUCUCUUAUCUUUAUUAUGAUGUACAGAUUGUCUUUCUGAAAGGUUCACACGUUUGCCUCAGUCACAUGGUUGAUCCAUCCUGCUUGGCCUCCCAAUAGGAUUUGCACGCAUCUGUUGUUUUGUUUUCGUGCAUCUCUGUUGAUGCCCCUGACGACAAUAGUACACUUGGGAGCAUUUAGAGUUUCCUUAGAUGCGUCAAAAAGUACAUGUUUUCUUUGAUGUGAACUGAUGAGACCCGUAGGAAGCUACCGUUCUAGAAGGUGUAUGACAUCAAUGGCAUCAUUUCCAAGGUCUCUCACCUUGAGUUUUUUUUUUGUUUUGUUUCGCUUUUUUUUUUUGCAACUUCCUAUUCAGUCCACCCUAAUGUGGCGUCUUGACGUUUACCAUCUUGCCUGCAAAUCCCAUCAGUGUCUCAUUUGCUAAAUGAAAAAAAAAGUCUGGAAAAUCUAUUGUCAUAGCAUGUGAACCACUCUUAAAAACGUGAUUUCCUGCUUUGUACUUUCACAUAUUACCUUAAUGAUUCAGCUUUCAGGAACAAACUUCUUGUUUAAUGCAGUUGAUUAAAUUGUGAUGUUCUCAAGAGAAAAAAA
Long non-coding RNA from Megalobrama amblycephala (Wuchang bream), 727 nucleotides. RefSeq lists it as uncharacterized. The record is from RefSeq and is a predicted model, not a curated record. Lineage: Eukaryota; Metazoa; Chordata; Actinopteri; Cypriniformes; Xenocyprididae. The transcript is spliced from 2 exons.